This 1533-nucleotide ribosomal RNA is filed under the name Ileibacterium valens. RNAcentral describes it as "bacterial SSU rRNA". It matches the Rfam family "Bacterial small subunit ribosomal RNA". The record is from RNAcentral. RNAcentral also lists the same sequence under 2 other names. Lineage: Bacteria; Bacillati; Bacillota; Erysipelotrichia; Erysipelotrichales; Erysipelotrichaceae.
CAAAUGGAGAGUUUGAUCCUGGCUCAGGAUGAACGCUGGCGGCAUGCCUAAUACAUGCAAGUCGAACGGUAUCUUUGGAUACAGUGGCGAACGGGUGAGUAACACGUAGGGAACCUGGCCAUACCUGGGGGAUAAUUUCUGGAAACGGAAACUAAUACCGCAUGGGUUUUGCUUAAGCCUUUAAGCGAAAUGAAAGAAGCGCGAGACGCUUCGGGGAUGGAUGGUCCUGCGCUGCAUUAGCUGGCUGGUGAGGCAACGGCUCACCAGGGCGAUGAUGCAUAGCCGGCCUGAGAGGGCGGACGGCCACACUGGGACUGAGACACGGCCCAGACUCCUGCGGGAGGCAGCAGUAGGGAAUUUUCGUCAAUGGGGGCAACCCUGAACGAGCAAUGCCGCGUGAGCGAAGAAGGUCUUCGGAUUGUAAAGCUCUGUUGCCGGGGAAAAAGGAAGGAAAGAGGAAAUGCUUUUCUUUGGAUGGUACCCGGCCAGAAAGUCACGGCUAACUACGUGCCAGCAGCCGCGGUAAUACGUAGGUGGCAAGCGUUAUCCGGAAUGAUUGGGCGUAAAGGGUGAGCAGGCGGUUCUUCAAGUCAUGAGUGAAAGGCAGAAGCUUAACUUCUGUUGGCUGAUGAGACUGGAGAACUUGAGUACAGGAGAGGGCGGCGGAACUCCAUGUGUAGCGGUAAAAUGCGUAGAGAUAUGGAAGAACACCAGUGGCGAAGGCGGCCGCCUGGACUGAAACUGACGCUCAGGCACGAAAGCGUGGGGAGCAAAUAGGAUUAGAUACCCUAGUAGUCCACGCCGUAAACGAUGAGGAGCAGGUGUCGCAAUGAAAUGCGGUGCCGAAGCCAACGCAAUGACUCCUCCGCCUGGGGAGUAUGCACGCAAGUGUGAAACUCAAAGGAAUUGACGGGGGCCCGCACAAGCGGUGGAGUAUGUGGUUUAAUUCGAAGCAACGCGAAGAACCUUACCAGGCCUUGACAUGGGAAGCGAAGGCUUAGAGAUAAGCUGGAGGUUAUCUUCCACACAGGUGGUGCAUGGUUGUCGUCAGCUCGUGUCGUGAGAUGUUCAGUUAAGUCUGGCAACGAGCGCAACCCUUAUGAUAUGUUGCUAACAUUGAGUUGAGGACUCAUAUCAGACUGCCGGUGACAAACCGGAGGAAGGCGGGGAUGACGUCAAAUCAUCAUGCCCCUUAUGGCCUGGGCUACACACGUACUACAAUGGCGUCUACAGCGCGAAGCAAACCAGUGAUGGCAAGCGAACCGUCAAAAGGCGUCUUAGUUCGGAUUGAAGCCUGCAACCCGGCUUCAUGAAGGCGGAAUCGCUAGUAAUCGCGGAUCAGCAUGCCGCGGUGAAUACGUUCCCGGGCCUUGUACACACCGCCCGUCAAACCAUGGAAGCCGGCAACGCCCGAAGCCGGCGGCAUAACCCGCAAGGGAGUGAGCCGUCGAAGGCGGGGCCGACGACUGGGGUUAAGUCGUAACAAGGUAUCCCUACGGGAACGUGGGGAUGGAUCACCUCCUUUCUAAGGAG